GGGUUGUGAGGUUAAGCGACUAAGCGUACACGGUGGAUGCCCUGGCAGUCAGAGGCGAUGAAGGACGUGCUAAUCUGCGAAAAGCGUCGGUAAGGUGAUAUGAACCGUUACAGCCGGCGAUGUCCGAAUGGGGAAACCCAGUGUGAUUCGUCACACUAUCGUUAACUGAAUACAUAGGUUAACGAGGCGAACCGGGGGAACUGAAACAUCUAAGUACCCCGAGGAAAAGAAAUCAACCGAGAUUCCCCCAGUAGCGGCGAGCGAACGGGGAGCAGCCCAGAGUCUGAAUCAGCUUGUGUGUUAGUGGAACGGUCUGGAAAGUCCGACGGUACAGGGUGAUAGUCCCGUACACCAAAAUGCACAGGCUGUGAACUCGAAGAGUAGGGCGGGACACGUGGUAUCCUGUCUGAAUAUGGGGGGACCAUCCUCCAAGGCUAAAUACUCCUGACUGACCGAUAGUGAACCAGUACCGUGAGGGAAAGGCGAAAAGAACCCCGGCGAGGGGAGUGAAAAAGAACCUGAAACCGUGUACGUACAAGCAGUGGGAGC
Molecule: ribosomal RNA, 549 nt
Filed under: Klebsiella quasivariicola
Lineage: Bacteria; Pseudomonadati; Pseudomonadota; Gammaproteobacteria; Enterobacterales; Enterobacteriaceae
Description: partial 23S ribosomal RNA
Rfam family: Bacterial large subunit ribosomal RNA
Source: RNAcentral